UGUCGAGCGAAUGGAUUGUCGGCGUCNGUAACACGUGGGUAACCUGCCCAUAAGACUGGGAUAACUCCGGGAAACCGGGGCUAAUACCGGAUAAUAUUUGAACUGCAUGGUUCGAAAUUGAAAGGCGGCUUCGGCUGUCACUUAUGGAUGGACCCGCGUCGCAUUAGGCCUAGUUGGUGAGGGUAAACGGGCUUCACCCAAAGGGGCAACCGAAUGCCGGUUAGGCCCGGACCCUUGAAGAAGGGGUUGGAAUCGGGACCACCACUUGGGGGAACUUGAGGAACCACGGGCCCAAGAACUUCCUAACCGGGGAAGGC
Molecule: ribosomal RNA, 317 nt
Filed under: uncultured bacterium
Lineage: Bacteria
Description: partial 16S ribosomal RNA
Rfam family: Bacterial small subunit ribosomal RNA (bases 25-238)
Source: RNAcentral